GAUGAACGCUGGCGGCGUGCCUAAUACAUGCAAGUCGAGCGAACAGACGAGGAGCUUGCUCCUCUGACGUUAGCGGCGGACGGGUGAGUAACACGUGGAUAACCUACCUAUAAGACUGGGAUAACUUCGGGAAACCGGAGCUAAUACCGGAUAAUAUAUUGAACCGCAUGGUUCAAUAGUGAAAGACGGUUUUGCUGUCACUUAUAGAUGGAUCCGCGCCGCAUUAGCUAGUUGGUAAGGUAACGGCUUACCAAGGCAACGAUGCGUAGCCGACGUGAGAGGGUGAUCGGCCACACUGGAACGGGGACGCGGACCAGACUCCUACGGGAGGCAGCAGUAGGGAAUCUGCGGCAAUGGGCGAAAGCAUGACGGAGCAACGCCGCGUGAGUGAUGAAGGUCUUCGGAUCGUAAAACUCUGUUAUUAGGGAAGAACAAAUGUGUAAGUAACUAUGCACGUCUUGACGGUACCUAAUCAGAAAGCCACGGCUAACUACGUG
Molecule: ribosomal RNA, 497 nt
Filed under: uncultured bacterium
Lineage: Bacteria
Description: partial 16S ribosomal RNA
Rfam family: Bacterial small subunit ribosomal RNA
Source: RNAcentral